RNAcentral lists this ribosomal RNA (495 nucleotides) under uncultured bacterium. RNAcentral describes it as "partial 16S ribosomal RNA". It matches the Rfam family "Bacterial small subunit ribosomal RNA", at positions 28 to 507 of the family's 1533-position model. The record is from RNAcentral.
GAUGAACGCUGGCGGCGUGCCUAAUACAUGCAAGUAGAACGCUGAAGGAGGAGCUUGCUCUUCUGGAUGAGUUGCGAACGGGUGAGUAACGCGUAGGUAACCUGCCUGGUAGCGGGGGAUAACUAUUGGAAACGAUAGCUAAUACCGCAUGACAACAGUUAUUGCAUGAUAACUGUUUAAAAGGGGCAACUGCUCCACUACCAGAUGGACCUGCGUUGUAUUAGCUAGUUGGUGAGGUAACGGCUCACCAAGGCGACGAUACAUAGCCGACCUGAGAGGGUGGUCGGCCACACUGGGACUGAGACACGGCCCAGACUCCUACGGGAGGCAGCAGUAGGGAAUCGUCGGCAAUGGACGGAAGUCUGACCGAGCAACGCCGCGUGAGUGAAGAAGGUUUUCGGAUCGUAAAGCUCUGUUGUAAGAGAAGAACGAGUGUGAGAGUGGAAAGUUCACACUGUGACGGUAUCUUACCAGAAAGGGACGGCUAACUACGUG